UGAAAUUUUCGAAAAUUGUUUAUAGUUUCUUGUUUAUCGAUUUUGUUGUUGGUGACUAUUGUGAAUUCGGAACAUGUGACGAAAAUACCGAAUAUUGUUGCGGCGAAGAUAAAUGCUGCAAAAAGUCUGUAGAAAUUUGGGCUGCGGUUUCGCUAAUCAUAGUAACAGCAUUUGUAACAGUAUGUCUAUAUGUUCGCAGGAUUACAAAUAAAUACCGAACUUACAGGAAAUUAGAACAAAACUGUGAAAAUGUUAAGACAAAGAUGGGGCAUUUUACU
This is a long non-coding RNA of Cylas formicarius (sweet potato weevil), 278 nucleotides long. RefSeq lists it as uncharacterized. The record is from RefSeq and is a predicted model, not a curated record. The transcript has 3 exons. NCBI's taxonomy places the organism in Eukaryota, Metazoa, Arthropoda, Insecta, Coleoptera, Brentidae.